GGGUCAGUAGGUUGGUCGUGCCACCGGUACGUACUGGUCUCACUGAUUCCUCCUUCCUGAAGAACCGUAAUGCCAUUAAUUUGGUGUUGCGGGGAAGCAGGACUGUUACUUUGAAAAAAUUAGAGCGUUUAAAGCAAGCUGACGCUUGAAUACAUUAGCAUGGAAUAAUGAAAUAGGACGAUCGAUCCUAUUUUGUUGGUUUCUAGGAUUGACGUA
This 216-nucleotide ribosomal RNA is filed under the name Glomeromycotina sp. RNAcentral describes it as "partial small subunit ribosomal RNA". The stretch from base 40 to 216 matches the Rfam family "Eukaryotic small subunit ribosomal RNA", at positions 686 to 864 of the family's 1831-position model. Lineage: Eukaryota; Fungi; Glomeromycota. The record is from RNAcentral.